CUGAGUCUCUGGGAUUAAAGGCAUGUGCCACUGCUCCCAGAAUUAUUGGUAUUCUUGAUGACAGCCAUUCUGACUGUUGUGAGAUGAAAUCUCAGUGUAGUUUUGAUUUUCAUUUCCUUGAUUGCUAAUGAUAUGGAACAUGUUUUUCAUAUGUAUUUGUAUGUCUUCUUUUGAGAAAUUUGUGUUUAAUUUGUUUGCCCUUUUAGUAAUUGGGUUAUUUGAUUUUUUUUUUGGUGUAAGGUUUUUUGAGUUCUUUAUAUAUCCUAGAUAUUAACCUAUGUCAGAAUAGUCAUUAAUAAAGAUUUUCUCCCAUUCUGUAGGUUCUCUCUUCACAUUCUUAAUUGCUUCCUUUGCUGUGCAGAAGAUUUUUAAUUUGAUACCAUCCCAUUUAUUAACUGUUGGCAUUAUUUCCUGAGUGUUAGGUAGGCUGUUGAGUUGGAGUGAUGAUCCUACAUUUUCUUCUAGGAGUUGCAUAGUUUCUGGUCUAAUUCCUAGGUCUUUGAUCCAUGUUGAGUUGAUUUUUGUGCAGUAUGAGAGAUAAAAGUCUAGUUUCAUUCUUCUACAUAUGGAUAGCCAUAUGUACAAAUGGAUUGAAACAUUCAAUCCAUUUCUGUGUCAUAAAAUUACUGAUGUGUUGCAGUUAAAAUCUAACCCUUUAGCUUAAUCCCUUAUACUGUAUUUGAUUCCUCUUUACAAUCUUGUUGCCUUCUGAAUUGGUUAAUUUUCAUGAUUUAAUAUUUCCCUUAAAGUAGGUUAAAAAUUUCAUCUCAAUUCUGCUUCUAUAACUUUGCCAAUUAACUAGUUGUCUUAAUUCAUUUGGACUGCUAUAGCACACCAUCAUUAACUGGGCAGUUUAUAAAAACAACACAUGUUUAUUUUUGACAGUUCUGAAGGCUGGGAUGUGUGAGAAGGUGCAGCAGAGGAUCAACUGAGGGCACCUGCUGGUACAUAGGCAGCACCUUCUACUUGUGUCCUCACACAGUGGAAUGGACAGGGCAGCCUCCUUUGUAAAACCACUCUAAAGCUUCUUUUAACAUAGCUCUAAUCCCCUUCAUGAGAGCUCCAAUUUCACAAUCUAAUUACCUCCCCAAACCCCACCUCCUAAUACCAACACAUUGGUGAUUAGGUUUAAACACGAAUGUUGGGGAAGCAACAAACAUGGAUAUCAUAGCACGAGCCUUGUUAACAGAGUCUGAUGCUAAUUUAUCACUCAGACAGCAGAAGAUUAUGUAAAUGUCAAUCAGUUGAUCAAUAUACCCAUUUAUCUAUUUAGCUCUUAAAAUAAGAGAUUCUUCCUAGUUGCUUAGGAAAUUUUGGGAACAAUCUAAGCAAGUCUGAAAUCUACAUGGUGAGAAGUCAGAAAGAGAAGGUCACAAGCAGACUGGAACUCACAGGAAGGCAACUGCUGUCCAAGUAAAAUUCCUUCCAGAAUUUUUACCUUGAAUAAUCACCUGGAGUAAAGUCAAUAGAUUUAUUGCAUGCCCUCCUAGCAGCACAUAGAUUAGUGUUUGAUCAAAUACCAAAAGAUGGAGGCCCAGCCAUUUUCAUCUAUCAAUUAUUAUGCCUAUGUAUGAGUAUGAGUGCACGAAUGGUGUAACCCUAUAUCAUGUACAACCACAGAAAUGAAAAGUUGUGCUCCAUUUGUGUAAAACAUAAAAUAAAAAAAGAAAACUAUCACAUCUAGUUAAUACCUUUCCACUCUUCUCAACACUGAGAGCUUAUAAGACAUCAAUUCUCUUUUCUCAGUUUAUACACCAUUGUCAUGUAGUUUAUAUAUGUGUGUGUAUGCACACUUGUGUAUUUAAACAGUAUAAGAUUAUAUAUGUAUAUAUAUAUAUAUAUAUAUAUAUAUAUUUGUUUUGUAGUCAAUGUUAAUUUCAAUUUACUCCUGUGUAUAUCAUUUUCUUGGCUCUUCAUUUCUUCUUUUAUCAUAGACCCUAUAUCCAGGGGCAUUUUCCUUUUCCUGAAGUAUAUCUUUUAGUUCAUUUGUUUUUGUUUUAUUAAUGUGAAUUUAUGGAGGCAAUUUUCUCAAAUUUUAUUGAUCAAAUUUUCAUUUUUGAAAAAUUAUUUCUGUAUGUAGAAUUCUAGAUUGGUAAUUACAGCUUUCUCCGAAUUAAAAAUAUCUUUUAAUAUCUUCUAGCUUGUUACUGCUAUUGAGAAGUCUGCUGUAAGUCUAACCAUUAACUGCCAUUAAAUGAAUCUGACUUUUUCUUUGGCCAGUUUAAGAUUUCAUUCUUUUCUUUGGUUUUCUGUGUAUUCUUUAAAAUGAAGCUAGGCAUUCAUACCAGUGAUACCACCAGUUACCCAAGAGGAAUCCUGCUUCCUCACACAUUGAAGUAUAACAUUAGAGAAGCACACCAAGGCAAGCAUAUAAAGCAGGGUUUAUUUAGAAAGGGGUAACAUAGACUUCUCCCAGGAGGGGAAAGGAGGCCGUGGCUGGUAUCUUGGUAUCUUAAGAAGUGAGGGUAUUCUGCCUUUUUUUUUUUUUUUUUUUUAAUGUCUUAGGCUUCCUUUGUUCUCCUGCUCUCUUCCCUUUAUCUCUCUCCUUUCUGUGUAUGUGACUAUGCCCAGGAGAUGCUCAGGUGGAAUGACCAAAAGGUGAGAAGCAGAUGGACAGGGGGGUUGGCCAGAUGAAGCAGCCCAGGAUACAUUAAUUAACAGCUUUUACAACUCCCUGUAGGGAGGGACAAUUCCUGGGACAGAUUACCUUAGCAACAGGUUGGAACAGGUCAGGUUAUCAUGAUAAGGGUGGAAGAAGGGCUCUGAAGUCCCUGGGGGGCAGACUCCAACUUCAAAUUGGCCUCCUUGAUCCAACCUGACUUGAUUUACCUAUCUAUGUUGACUGCCUGUCUAAUGCUAGCUUCAUA
This 2867-nucleotide long non-coding RNA is filed under the name Marmota monax (woodchuck). The record is from RNAcentral. Lineage: Eukaryota; Metazoa; Chordata; Mammalia; Rodentia; Sciuridae.